ACACGUGAAACCCUGUGGGAAGCAGGAGGGACCACCCUCCAAGGCUAAAUACUACCUAGUGACCGAUAGCGUAUAGUACCGUGAGGGAAAGGUGAAAAGAACCCCGGGAGGGGAGUGAAAUAGAACCUGAAACCCUGCACUUACAAGCUGUGGAAGCACAUUUCUUGUGUGACCGCGUACUUUUUGUAGAACGGGCCAACGAGUUACGUUAAGUAGCAAGGUUAAGCACUUAAGGUGCGGAGCCGUAGCGAAAGCGAGUUUUAACUGAGCGUUCAGUUACUUGACGUAGACCCGAAACCGGGCGACCUACCCAUGAGCAGGAUGAAGCGAAAGUAAAAUUUCGUGGAGGUCCGAACCCACGAGCGUUGAAAAGCUCGGGGAUGACUUGUGGGUAGCGGUGAAAUUCCAAUCGAGCCCGGAGAUAGCUGGUUCUCCCCGAAAUAGCUUUAGGGCUAGCCUCAAGGUGAGAGAUACGGAGGUAGAGCACUGAAUGUCCUAGGGGGUAUUGCACCUACCGAAGACUAUCAAACUCCGAAUGCCGUCAUCUUAUACUUGGGAGUCAGACUGUGGGUGAUAAGAUUCAUAGUCGAAAGGGCAACAGCCCAGAUCGUCAGCUAAGGUCCCUAAAUGUAAGUUAAGUGGUAAAGGAUGUGGGAUUGCACAGACAACCAGGAUGUUGGCUUAGAAGCAGCCACUCAUUCAAAGAGUGCGUAAUAGCUCACUGGUCGAGUGAUCCUGCGCCGAAGAUUUCCGGGGCUAAAACUU
Molecule: ribosomal RNA, 765 nt
Filed under: Clostridioides difficile
Lineage: Bacteria; Bacillati; Bacillota; Clostridia; Peptostreptococcales; Peptostreptococcaceae
Description: partial 23S ribosomal RNA
Rfam family: Bacterial large subunit ribosomal RNA
Source: RNAcentral